This 454-nucleotide ribosomal RNA is filed under the name Campylobacter gracilis. Its description in RNAcentral is "bacterial SSU rRNA". It matches the Rfam family "Bacterial small subunit ribosomal RNA", at positions 29 to 499 of the family's 1533-position model. Lineage: Bacteria; Pseudomonadati; Campylobacterota; Epsilonproteobacteria; Campylobacterales; Campylobacteraceae. The record is from RNAcentral.
AGUGAACGCUGGCGGCGUGCCUAAUACAUGCAAGUCGAACGGAAUUUAAAAGAGCUUGCUCUUUUAAAUUUAGUGGCGCACGGGUGAGUAAUAUAUAGCUAAUCUGCCCCUUGCUGGAGGACAACAGUUAGAAAUGACUGCUAAUACUCCAUACUCCUUUUUACCAUAAGAUAAAUCGGGAAAGAAUUUCGGCAAGGGAUGAGACUAUAUCGUAUCAGCUAGUCGGUGGGGUAACGGCCUACCGAGGCUAUGACGCGUAACUGGUCUGAGAGGAUGAUCAGUCACAUUGGAACUGAGACACGGUCCAAACUCCUACGGGAGGCAGCAGUAGGGAAUAUUGCGCAAUGGGGGAAACCCUGACGCAGCAACGCCGCGUGGAGGAUGACACUUUUCGGAGCGUAAACUCCUUUUGUUAGGGAAGAAUAAUGACGGACCUAACGAAUAAGCACGGCUA